UCGAGUUACCGCUCCUUAUAACCCUUUGUGAACAUACCCAAACGUUGCCUCGGCGGGCAGCCGGAGCCCAGCUCCGGCGCCCGGAGCCGCCGUCUCGGUGCGCCCCACCCGCCGGAGGACCACUAAACUCUAUUUAAACGACGUCUCUUCUGAGUGGACACAAAGCAAAUAAUCA
This 175-nucleotide unclassified non-coding RNA is filed under the name uncultured Colletotrichum. Its description in RNAcentral is "sequence contains ITS1". Lineage: Eukaryota; Fungi; Ascomycota; Sordariomycetes; Glomerellales; Plectosphaerellaceae. The record is from RNAcentral.